GAUGUGUGUAUAUAUAUAUAUAUAUAUCCUCCCCUCGGCUAUAUUUUUUCGAAGAUGAAUCACACGGGAGAGAUACGUGCUGCUUCAUGCGCUCCACACAUAUGUAUAUAUAUAUAUACACACAUACGUAUGUACGUCAUAUAUAAUAACGUGACUAUCGAACGUAAAAAUUUUAUCUUUUUCUUUUUUCUCUCUUUUUUUUCCUUGUCAGAAAAAUUACAUAGGAUAAACAAGGAGAAAAAUGUUCGCGCGUUUAGCUUUGCUGCGUCGCGUUCGUUGCGUUAGUCUCGUCGUCCGUCUCUUCUCCUAUCUCUUGGUUAUACAUAUACAUAUUUUAAUUUUCUAAUUCAAUAAAAUCUCGCUUCCGCCGGUCCUCCCCCGAGAGCCGCGAUCCUACUCGCGCGCGUUCGUAUUCGUUCGGAAGUAAUCGUCGACGCCGUCGUCGCUCGGUAGUCCCUCUACCUCCCCACCCCUCCGUAUCGUGCUUCGCGUCGACUCGGCUCGAUUCGGCUCCAUUCGGUAAAUCUCGGGCGCACGGUCUCGGUCUCGUCGAGCACGAACCAACGAGUCGCUUUUCGAUUCAGUUCUCGUUCGUCCGCACGCCUGUUCGCGUCAUGUCGUGAACUGGGAGAGUAUUUUAUCUCUCUCUCUUUCUCUCUCUUUCUCUCUAUUCUUCCAAGUGAGAGGCGUUUGUGGUCUGCUCUAAAGUAAGAUAAACCGAUAUAAGUGCGCAACGAGAUAAGCCGACUAGGGCCGACCGACCGACCGACUACUGACCGAUUAAUUAAACGAAUUCGAAGAACGAGCAAUAAUCGUCGACCGCAGCUACCAACGAGGAGAAGAGAUCGUCCUCCGAAUUUUGCAAUUUUUCCUAUUUAGUUAGGAACGAGAGAGAAGAAUGUAACCUCAGAACUCGAGAAGAAGUAGAAGAGAAAAAAAAGAUGAAGAAGAAAAAGAAGACAACUUGAACCGACCGACAUGGACCUGAAGGUUACAGUUACGGAUCAGUCAGGCCAUGACCAUAGUUGAAGAAUCGGAGGAAUACCAUCGAGUACUUGGAAGUCGGUCUUUUGUGCGAACACGUGCGAACCAUCGUCAGACUUAUAUAUUUUCCUUCCUCUUUCUUUUUUCUUUUCCUUCUCUUUCCUUCUCUUUUUUUUUGUUCAUUCUAUCUAUUUAUCUAUCUAUCUAUCUAUCUAUCUAUCUAUCUAUCUAUUUUUUUCGAAUUCUUUCCUUUCCCUUGAUCUCAACCUGAAUUUUCAACAUGAACCGGAAUCCCUCUCACGGAAUAAACGUAAAGUCCUGAGAACACCGACUUCACCGGGAUUCGUUCGUCUCGUAAAUCGUAAGGCUGUCUCUAGCUGUAGUAAUUCCUAGAAAGAGAAAAAGAGAACUGGAUGGAGAGGGUGGUGGUGGUGGUGGCAAUGGCGAUGGUGUUGAUAUUGGUGAUGGUGAUAGUAGAUAGUAGUAGUAGAGUAGUAGUAGUAGUUGGAGUUUUAGCGAGACAAACGUACCUGAGAAUUCUUCUUAAGACGGUUCGCACUUUACGGGCAUGCUCGUCUCACUCUUUGCUCGGUAAUGGAGAAUUCCCGUCCUUCUUUACACUCCCUUGCUCUCUCUCUCUCUGUUUAUCUCUCUCUCUUUUUUCUCUUUUCCUCCGUUGGAGGAAUUAAUUUGGUGCUAACGCCAGGACCAACCCCUUGCUCCUUUUGCUCUGAUAUCGUUCUCUCUCUCUCUCUCUCUCUCUCUCUCUCUCUCUCUCUCUCUCUCUCUCUCUCUCUCUCGCUCAUUUCAUAGUCGAGGCGUUGGUAACAACUCCGACGAGCUUUCGUUUGACUUUUUACCUCACUGAGAUGUUUUAACUCAACGCAGAGAGAAAGAAAGAGAGAGAGAGAGAGACCCUCUUUUUCUUCUUCUUUUUCCUCCUUCUUCUAACUCAACGAAAUUGUCUUAUAAAUUUUUCUCUCAUUUCUCUCUCUCUCUCUUUCUCUCUCUCUCUUUCUUCAACGAGAGGAAACCUCUUUCCUCUACGAAUAAAGACUCUGCCAACUUUCUUCUUCUUCUUCUUCUUCUUCUUCGUCAUAUUUUAGUUUGGGGAAAAAGGAUCGAUGCGAUGUCCGUAAGUACAUACGUACUUACGUCUUCUUUUCAAAGAAAUUAUAUAGAUUUCGUUUUACACACACACACACACAGCGUAUUUAAUUUUAUUACGUUUCGUAAGUUAAAUUUCAUCUACGAUGCUGAUUAAAAUAUUCGUAUGGCUCUUUUCUUUUUAGAAAAAAAAAAUCAUCUACAUACAUACAUAUAUACAUACAUACAUACAUCUAUAUAUAUAUUAUGUAUAUAUACGUAGAGUUAGUACCCUUGGUUCUUGGUUUACAGCUCUCCAGGUUUCCUCUCGAUGGUCAGGACAAGAAAUAGAGUGGAAUUGUAUGAUGUGUGUGUGUGUGUAUGUGGAAGGGAGUGGAGGACAAACGGAGGGUAAGAAUAAAUGUAAGGAAUAGAAGGAAGACGAGAACGACGAGGGUCCUGCGAAAUUCUUACGACACGGGGCCGGUCGCCCUUUCUUCUCCCCUAUUCCUCCAUUCUUUCUCUUACUCUGCAUCUAAAAUUCUGCACCGUUCUUCUUCUUCUUGUUCUUCUUCUUCAUAAUCAUCAUCAUCAUCAUCAUCAUCAUCAUUUCUCUCUCUCUCUCUCUUUUUAUUCGCGUCCUUUCGUGUUUGCGUUCUACUCUUUUCCUUUCCCUUCCCUCCUCUUAUGUUUCCUAGAGAACACGAGAGAGAGAGAGAGAGAGAGAGAGAGAGAGAGAGAGAGAGAGAGAGAGAGAGAGAGAGAGAGAGAGAGAGAGAAAGAGAGAACGGUAAAAAAAGAUAGGUUAGGAAGCGUAAGCUCGUACGAGAAGAAAGAUGAAAGAAAAAAGAAAGAGAAAAAAGAGCAAGAGAUAGGGAGAGAGAGGUGGAAUGUAAUAGAAAGAAAGAGAAAGAGAGAGAGAAAGAAAGAAAGAAAGAAAGAGUGACCGUUAGGGAAAAAAGGACUAUAAUAAUAAUAGAAUGAAGACGUGUAGUAAGACGAGUUCAAAGAUGGCGCGUAGAGGGCACGCGCGUCGCGGUAGACGACGAAGGAGAGCAGUGGUGGGGUGAUGUUGGUGGCGAUGAUGAUGGUGAUGCUUUGGUGGGGAGGAUAGAAGCUGACCCCCCACCAAGUAGCAGCACACAGCAGUGCUUGAAGCCGGGCGAAGGCGAACGAGCGAGUCAGUCGCGCGCCGUACCUCGUCCGUGUAACUUCGUUUCGUUUCGUGUUUUCUCGGAUAUUAUUUCUCUCUCUCUCUCUCUCUCUCUCUCUCUCCGUCUCUUUAUCUAUCUCUUUCUCUCUGUUGUGUAUAUAUCCUAUGAUCCUUUCGAUCGCGUCCGGUGUGUUGUAUCUUCGCGUUAUAAAAUUCCGCUCUCUUUCUGUGCGUUUUUGUUCUUCUUGUGCGAUCGACCGUAACAAAAAGAAAUCUUCGAGAAAAUAAUAUUUUUACCUUAGCAGCAAGCAAGCGAUCAUCAGCAGCUUUCUCUACUUAUAUUAUUUCCGUUGAAAAUAAUAGACACGAUUUUUUUCUUCCUCUCUUUCUCUCUAUUUUUCUCUCUUUUUUUUUUUUAUUGUGCGUGUGCGUGCGCGUGUAUGUGUGUGUGUGUGUACGUGCGUGUGCUUACGUAAUUCUCCCGAUAAGAGUAUCUCUACAUCGAAUUAGACGCUUUCCUUGGUUACAAUCGAUUAAUCGAUUAUUUUGUUCGGUAAGAGUUUGAAGAAGAGUCACGAUCAUUUUCGCGGGCUUUUUUCUCCUUUUUAUUUUUUUCUUCCUUCUCUCUCUUUCUUCCUUUCUUUCUUUCUUUUUUUUUCUUAUAUUACGUUGUGUAAUCAUUGUCGCGAGAGAGGAGAUAACAAGAAAGAGAGAGUUGUAUUGUAAGGAUAAUUUUUCUUCGAUAUAAUAUCGUCGUUUGGUUUUGUAAAAAAAAUGUAUUGGAAGAAUUAGAGAGAAACGAAGAGAGGAGAGAAAGAGAGAGAGAGAGAGAGAGAGAGAGACAGAAAUAUGGUCGUCAUUGGUACAUCUUGUCGCGUAUUUUCGGCGACUGAGAUCGAUCGACGCCGGCUUCUCUCUCUCUCUCUCUCCCCCUCUUUUUCUCACUUAUUUUCUUCAUCUCUUAUUUUCCAUCUUUCUCCAUCUACUUUCGUAUUCGCGCGCGUACUCACCAUGUGACUGAAAAGUUUCCCCGUAAAGGAAGAUCUGAAAAUGUUCUCUCUCUCUCUCUCUCUCUCUCUCUCACACACAUACACAUUUUCAAUCGUCUUCUUUCUUCUUCUUCGAGCUUCGCGAAUUUGGAUUACUGGCGCGGGGAGAAUAAAUUUGCAUAAUUAUUCCGUUCGCUAUUGGACGGAUGGACGUUUCUCCUCCUCCUUUUCCUUCUCCUUCUCUUUCUUCUCCUCUUCUUCCUCUUACUCGUCAUCUUCUUCUUCUUCUUCUUCUUCGUCGUCGUCGUCGUCGUCGUAAUCGCCGUCAGAUUUUUCUUACAAAUCUAUGUCUCGAGUAUAUAUAUUUUCUGUUAGUUGGUAAACGUGUGCAAUAUUCUUCUAGAACGAGAUUGGAACAUAUCACUUUCAAUGUUGAGAGAGAUUUCUUACUGCGCGAAGCCGAUAAAGGAAAUAUAUAUAUAUAUAUAUAUAUACACACACGGAAUAUACGUAGAUAAUAUACUUUUGAAGGAUCGUAAAGUUUAAAAAAGAACAAAAAGAACGAACGAAGAAGAAGAAGAAGAAUACGGUGUGAGAUACGAGAAACGAGUGAGGGGAGAAAAAAUCAUUUUUGUCGACAAACUAACGAAGCUCUUCUUACAGAAUAAGCACGUUUCUCUCUCUCUCUCUCUCUCUCUCUCUCUCUCUCUGUCUAUUUAUCUAUCUCUGUCUCUCUUUCAUGGAAGAAGAGAGCUUUUUCUAAGAAGAAAGUCGACAGAGCGCGAGAGUAUAGCAACAGCAACCGUAGUAGUAGUAGCAGCAGCAGCAGCAGCAGCAGCAGCACGUCUUCGUCUCAUCGGCGUUUGUGUUUCGGCUCGAAUGUAAAAAUAAAAGGAAGAGAAACGAACCGCGGCGUCUCAAGGCUAACGCCUCGCGUAUUUGCUUCCUCCAUCUCUCUCUCGCUCUCUCGCUUGCUCGCUCUAUUCGGUAUCACUGUUCUUUUAUCCGGUCUCGUGCCACCAUUCUCGGUACCACUCGAGUGUAUACGAAUUGAUACGAAUAUUUCUCGUACACCCUAUAUAAAUAUAUAUAUAUGUAUGUAUGUAUGUAUAGUAUAGUAUCUUCUACUUCUUCAAGAAGUUGAAAGUUUUAUGUGGUGUAAAAGGUAUAUGUAUCUCAUACUUAACCUCGGCCUCUUUAUGAGGCAUUUUUUUUAUAUCGUUGCAUUAUAUUAGACGGGUGUUAUCGGUAAAAAAAGGAAAACUGUAAAAAGAAGAUAUAUAUAUAUAUAUAUAUAUAUAUAUAUAUAUAUAUAUAAACGAAGCUUGUAAUCUCUUACGUGAUUUCUUUUUCUUCUUUUUUUCUCUUUUUUUUUUCCUUUUUUGGAGGUUAUAUCUUUUUUCCUCUCUGGCCGUUCUGUUCUGUGUUCCUGUUCUAUUCUGUUCCUGUUCUCUGUAUGUAUACAUUCUUUUCCUUUUUUUUUUUUUUAUCGAAAGCGAGAUAACCACAUCGAAAUGAGAUAAAAUUUGGCCCAGUUUUCGACAGACAAUGAAUGAAAUACGGAGAGAGAUAUUAUUGUUCAAGGAAGAACAUGAAUAUUGUGUUGCUCGGUCGAUUCCGAUAGUAGUUUGCUGUUGCUGCUGCUGUUACUGUUGCUGUACAGAAUUUUCGUUCGACUUAUUGAAAAUAGAAAAAAGAAAAGAAAAGGAAAAGAGAAAAAGAGUGUGGAGUAAAAGAAGACAAACGGAUGGAUGGACAGAUAGAUUGAUAGAUUUAUGUGUAGAUCGACAAAGAAAAAAAAAAAAGGAAAAAUAGAGAGAGAAGGUGCUGGUGAUCUCUCUCUUUCUCUCUCUCUCUUUUACCUUUCAGAGCUGUUUCUCGAGACGAGAAGAAUUUCACGGUGCAAAUCGCGAAGCAGGACGAACGAUGCGGUUGAAAGAGGGAGAGAGAAGAGAAGAGGAGAGGAGAGGAGAGGAGAGGAGUGAAGUGGAGUAGAGUGGAGUUGAACGGAGAGGAGUGGAGAGAAGACGGUGGAGAAGGAAAGAGAAAGAUGGGAGGUAGAGAAGGGAGGGAGGGAGGGGUGGUUUGAGACGCGGCUUUUCUCGACGUUGGGUAUAAAUAUAGUCGGUCGAUGGUGGUGGUUCGUCUCCCUCGCUAACGUUUCCUCGAUGUAUUGCCACGGAAAUUGGCUCUCUGUGGGAGCGAGAAAGAGAGUGAAAGAAAGAAAGAAAGAAAGAGAGAGAGAGAGAGAGAGAGAGAAAGGAGAAACUGAGAGUAAGUGUGAGAGAAAGAGAGAAAGAAGAUAAGGAGGUUCGUAUCGCGGUGAUACACGAGCCACGAAACUCGUUCUUUUGAAUUAGGAAAACGCGUGAUUAUUUUUCUCUCUUUUACGGAAUAAGAGAGAGAGAGAAACAGAAUGAAAAAUACGUUGGAAAUGAGAAAAAGACUGUGAAGGAAAUAACAACAAGGAAAAAAAAGGAUCGCGUGAGUUAUUCGUGCGCGAGUCCUCUCUCUCUCUCUUUCUUUUUCUCUCUUUCAAUGGUUUUACCUUUUCGUUGCAAAGCAAAAGAGAGUAUAUACGGAUGUGUUGGUAAGGGUAGAAAAGGUAGAGAAAGAACGAUGGUGGUGGUAGGGUUGGUAGGGCUAGUAGGGCUGGUAGGGUUGCUGGCAGCUUCUUGGCGGUUUCCGAGAAGGAGAUAAGCCGGUUACCGCCCCCGACGAACGUUUACGUCGGAAACAUCGUUAGAAGACGCGACGACGACCACGUUCUCUCUCUCUCUCUCUCUCUCUCUCUCUCUUUCUCUCUCUGUCUCUCUCGAUGAGAGUCAACUUUUUCUGGUUUUUUCUUUUCUUUUCUUUUCUUCUUCUUAAUCUUCUUUUUUUGCUAUUAUUUAUUUAUUCUGUUCCUUUCUUUCUUUCUUUCUUUUUUUUUAUUUCCCCGAAGAACGCUUCGCACCUUUCUCGUCUCCUCAUUUCCUUUUUCCAAUACUCUUACUUUACGUAGCUCGUGCAAUAAUGAGAUCGAAUUAUUCAUCCGUAUAUACGCCUUGUUUACGCUCGAAUAUAUCUUCGAAAUAAUUAAGUAGACCGUUUCUAAAUAACUAUUACAAGAUUUAUUAUUAUUUAACAUAUUUUGCAGAAAGGAAGAGAGAGAGAGAGAAAGAAGGAGGGAGAGAGAGGUUAGAAAAAAGUUGGAAAUUUUGCGGAUUUUUUCUAACCGCGUUACUCGGUCGGUAACAAUCGGCUACGCACUUACCGAUAGGUACGAAAUCGUCGGUCAUAAAUCGUAAUGGUUACUGAUACCCAUCUUUUUUAUUUUAUUACUAUUACUACCACUACUACCAUCAUCAUCAUCAUCAUCAUUAUCAGGUUUUUUAGAUUGUUAAAUUUCAUACAUUUUGGAAUUGAAUUCUAUAUAUAUACACGCACGCUAUAUACUCGCAUAUACGUACGCCCAAACUUUUCGUUGUUCUCUCUCAUCUCGAAUUCGAUAUGACCAGAUAGAUAGAUAGGGAAAGAGAGGAAGAGAGAUGCGUUUGACGAUUUCGUGCGUGUUUAUCGGCCGAUACGAGGUUUGGUUUGACUCGUCUACAACGAGUUUUCUCUCUACGCUGUGCCGUGUAAGGGAGGAAGGGCUAUCUCUUCGUAAAAAGCGAUGUUCUCUUGUCCGAAAGACCGUGUUAGGGAGAGAAAGAGAAAAAAUGAUACUAUACCACUCUUUGAGCUUUUCGAAUGAGCACUGAACUGUUUCGAAUAAUCGUUUGUACCGAUAUAUCCUAUCGUUCAACGACUAACGGUUGUAAUAUUCCCUUUGAAAUCGGUUUUCCUGAUCUUUUAUCAGGUGAUUCGUAACUUUCUCUCUUCCACCUCGAAGCUCCCUCUUCUUCUCUCCCUCUCUCUCUUUCUCUCUUCGUCGAUCAACACGAUUUACAAUGUCUCGAAAAACCGAUCGCGUUUUGUUCUGUAAAAUCGAACGGAUUUUCUUCCUUUCUUUCUUUUUUCUUCUUUCGAAAUCUAUUGAAAACGUCGUUUAAAAACGUUCGGUGUAUCGAACUUGUAUCGAGCGAUUCGAAAGUUUUCGAAGCUUUGUUCCCAAGUUGGACCAUCUAAAAAAAGAGAGAGAGAAAGAGAGAAAUAUUGGCCCGAAAAUAUUCUUGAAAAUUAAGAGCAAUCGAUUUUCGAUAUCACCUAGGAACUUUUGCACAUCCAACGUUACUUUCCAUUCCCUUAUUCUGUAUUAAGAAUGAGAUUUUUCGCGAACGUACGCGUACGUACCAAGUUCGCCAUUUUGAAAGAUUUCGUACGGUUAUAAAAAUAAGGUCGGUCGAUUUCAGUAUUUGCAGAAAUAGACGGACAAACAGAGAGAAAGUACGGAUCAUCGUUCUACUAGUGUACUCAUUAUAGAUUUUCGACAAGAGAUGUUUCACGAACGAAUGACGUGACGUUUCGAAUCGUUUUUAUCACUUUAAACCAGCGACAACGUAGCUUGUGCACUAAUGGUGAUAGUGGUGGUGGUGGUGGUAGAAGUAAUGAUGAUGAUAAUGAUGAUAAUGAUGAUGAUGAUGGUGCUGGUGAUGGUGUCUUUUACGAUAAGAUUCACGCUGAAUAAUAAUACCAUUUAAUUGAUCUUUGUCUUUGAUAUUCUCACAAACAACGAUACUCUCUUUGAUGCGUCUAUUAUUGUCAAUAAUAUUAUUACUAGUAUUGUUACUACUAGACUAUUGUUACUAAACAAUUAUUAGUAGUGUUAUUAUUACUACUACUGCUAGUACUAAUAUACUAGUACUACUACUAUUGCUGUUGCUGUGCUGUUGCUGCUGCUGCUGCUGCUGCUGCUGCUGCUGCUGCUGUCUAGGCCACAUUAAAUUUUCGUGAGAUUCGUAUAAGUUUCUUCUCUCUUUCUCUCUCUCAAACACACAUACAUAUUCGACGUGUGUGUGUGUGUAUCUCAGGGAUGUAAAAUUCGGGCACCUGCACCCGUUCGUCGUUCUAUUUUCGUACGCUUGACCCAUGGCGACCUGACUACAUCGUUCUCAAGAGAGAGAGAGAAAGAUAGAGUAAACGAGAAAAUAAAAGUUAAUAAAAAAAAUAUAUACAUAUUAUAAAAUAACAAUAUUAUAAAAACUGUUUUACCGAUAGUGUUUUGAAAAAAAUGUUAUCGAUAAAGACGAGAGAGAGAGAGAGAGAGAGAGAGAGAGAGAGAGAGAGAGAGAGAGAGAGAGAGAGAGAACGUUACGUAGGUUAUGUACAUUGUUUGAUUGUAUAUUUGAGGGAGAAUUUCCUGAAAUUCGAAUACACGUUACGCAUGCACGUAACCUACGUUCGUUUAUUUACUGUUAUCGGCUACGCGUCUUAUCUGUAUAUAGGAAAGACAUUGACAAUAUUUACAAAGUAACCGAUAAUACGAUAGAUGUCUCCUCUCUCUCUCUCUUUCUUACUCACUCACUCACUCACUCGUCACUCACUCACACACGCUCAGCUGGUACCUUAUGCUUUGAACGUGAGUUACGGUAAUAUAUCAUUGAGAGAUAUAGAGACAGAAUGAGAAAGAGAGAAUCACUUUGUCCCUCUUGAAAUUAUCCUUCGAACGGGCAAAAUUUGUAAUAACAAGAUAAAAUGACAAGAAAUUAAAGAUCGUACUCUACAAAAAGAAAACAAAAAUAAUAAUAACUAAAUCCAUCAGAUAGAUAGUUAUUCGAUAUUUCAUUCGAUUUCGUCGUUCUUUUCUUUUUUCUUUUUUACAGGUUCCAGCAGCAGGAUGAGGAAGGAAUAGUUGGAUUCGUCAUAAUCGUCGUCGAUGUGGAGAGAGAGAGAAACGUACACGCACACAUACGCAGCUUCGGGUUCUUUCCGGUUUUUUACGUGUUGCGGUUCGUUUGGGAAAUAAAACGCGUGCCCAAAGCCCCUUAUCAUUCUCCUGUCCGGUGUACAAUCGUUAAACGACUGGACGGAGAACUGAUAAGGGCCCGAGGGUCACAGAAUCAUCGUGAACAGAGAAAUUCGAAGAGGACUCCUGCUUUACUCUCUUUCUCUCUCUCUCUCUCUCUCUCUCUCUCUCUCCCUCCCCUUCUCUUUGUAAAAUGGCGCCAUGCGCGUGCUUCUUCGUAUCUUCCUCCUCUUCGUCGCGAUUGGACGAAGAAAGACUAGUUAAUACGCACAGGAGGACACGUACAACACCAUGAAGAAGGACGAAGUUAGAUCUUGUUAACAAGGAACAAGAGAGAGAGAGAGAGAGAUGUAUAUUUAUAUUCUCUUUCUCUCUUUGUUUUUCUCUGUCUGUCUGUCUGUUAUAUUUUUCUGUACGCGUUAAUCUCUUAAUUUUUUAUUUUAUUUUAUUUUUCAUUUCAUUCUGUUCACUGUCUAUCAUUCAGCUGAAACAACUUAACAAUGAGAAGAAUAAAGUAUUAUUCUCUUUGUCCCUCUAAACG
This is a long non-coding RNA of Vespula vulgaris, 10640 nucleotides long. RefSeq lists it as uncharacterized. NCBI's taxonomy places the organism in Eukaryota, Metazoa, Arthropoda, Insecta, Hymenoptera, Vespidae. The transcript has 3 exons. The record is from RefSeq and is a predicted model, not a curated record.